UACGUAGGGGGCGAGCGUUGUCCGGAUUUACUGGGCGUAAAGAGCGCGCAGGCGGUCGUUCAAGUCGCGUGUGAAAGCCCCCGGCUCAACUGGGGAGGGUCACGCGAUACUGAUUGACUCGAAGGCAGGAGAGGGUAGUGGAAUUCCCGGUGUAGUGGUGAAAUGCGUAGAUAUCGGGAGGAACACCAGUGGCGAAGGCGACUACCUGGCCUGUUCUUGACGCUGAGGCGCGAAAGCUAGGGGAGCAAACGGG
RNAcentral lists this ribosomal RNA (253 nucleotides) under uncultured bacterium. Its description in RNAcentral is "partial 16S ribosomal RNA". It matches the Rfam family "Bacterial small subunit ribosomal RNA", at positions 524 to 776 of the family's 1533-position model. The record is from RNAcentral.